GUGACGUAAGCCCUGCUCAGUAAGAAGGCUCCGCAGGUCGGCAGGUAGGAAGAGCACUACCUCGCACACUGCGCAUGCGCCACCUCGGGUGGCCUCAAGAGAACACCACCACUAAUGGGAAGACUGCCCCCUGACCGGCACAUGGCCUCAGCAUUCAUCCACAGAUGCUCCUCAAAUUGUUUUAAAAACAGCUUUUUUUAAAAGCUGUUUGUCUAUGAAGAUUAAAUGAGUUAAUAAUAUAAGCAAAGCACUUUGCAUGGCUACUGGGCACGGUGGUUCAUGCCUGUAAUUCCAGCACUUUGGGAGGCCGAAGCAGGUGGAUCACCUGAGGUCAGGAGUUCAAGACCAGCCUGAUCAACAUGGCGAAACCCUGUCUCUAUUAAAAAUACAAAAAAAAUAGCCGGGCAUGGUGGCACGUGCCUGUAAUCCCAGCUACUUGGGAGGCUAAGGCAGGAGAAUCGCUUGAACCUGGGAGGCAGAGGUUGCAGUGAGCCGAGACCUCGCCGUUGCACUCCAGCCUGGUUGACAGAGCAAGACUCUGUCUCAAAAAACAAAAAAACCCCAGCUUUUGUCCAGAGGUUGCUUUUUGUGGGUCUGUACGCUGAGGCCAAGUUCUAUGUAAGCAGAGCCCUCCCACCUCACCUCCAAACAAUGCCUCUAAACCAUCACAAUCUGAAAGGAAAAUAAAUCCCUUUCUUCAAUGGUGACCUGAAGCUAGCCAAGGACCGGGUGCUGGCAGGUGGCCUGCGAGACUGGGUCGGAUCCCGGGUUACUGUCUGAGGAGGGAUGCCGUGCUGUAAGGGUUGGGGAGCCAGUGUCUGGCUUCCUUGUCACCACAAGACCUGUGGUUUCCAGCUCUGUCUGCAUCCAGGUCCCACUAACCAACAGCAGGAGAGAAAACAGUUGUGCACACAGGCGGACGCGCACACGCGCACCUGGCCCCCCAGACGUGCACAGCCCUCAGAGGAAGUGGAGCACCAGAUGUUCUGGGUUUCCUGUUCGACGCUUCCACAGCUGGUCGAGUCUGUGGUUGUGGUUUGUCUGUCUCGGGCUCAUGUGAGAGACAAAAGCUGGGCUGACGGGAAACCUCUUCUCUCGGCCCCCACUCCCCAGCUCUGACUGAUUAGGAAACCUGGCAGGUCAGAAAUUUCCUGAAACACCCAGAGCUGGAUUCUCCCAAGAAGAAGCUGAACCCCCAACUCCCAUCCCUGAGGAGCAGCCCCUGGGCUGAUGAUCAGGACUUACAGAACCUGGGGCGAUGGAAACCUCUACAAAUAUCCCAUUUAGAAAGACCGCCAGCCCUGCCAACAGAAUGAAACGGAGGCCAGGUUGCUAUGGUCUCUACUCCAAUGCCUGACAUUGAGCCGCUGCUGCAAAACACUCAGCACAUGAAGGAAUGAAUGAGGAACAGAGAACUUCACCUUUGGGGGUUGGGUGUACAAGCCCCAACUGGGCCCCAAGUCCCAUAAAUAGCUUUGGAUUCCAACAUACAAGCAUUUGACGCAGCGAGGUGCUGCCGACUUGCUCUGUGACUUGGAGCAAGUCAUUUAGCCUCUCUGGGCCUGGUGUCCUCAUCUGCAGAAUGGAGAUGAUAAUAUCUACUUCACAAAGGUGUGAAGGCCCUGUGAGACACCGCAUGUGGAUUUCCUCGACAUUGUUUGCCCAUCGUAACUGCUCCAGAGAGGCUGGGCUCCCUUUUCUCGUUGCAACACUGCUGUUUAUUUCAGGAGAUACUCUAAAAGGGAAGCAAGCUAAAACAAAGAACAACCAAAAACACUGAUCCCGGGACAACUGCCCGGCAGGACAGCAGAGCAAGGGUACUUGGUGCUCUUCGUUGGGGGGAUGUUGGGAGAAGGGGCUGGAGCCAUCCCAGGGUCUCCAGGCUCUGGAAGGGAGCACCCCAUGUCCUCCUCUGGGUGUGGAAUAGGGUGAGUGUCUUAGGGGUGGAGAGAGAACAGGCAGAGUGUGCUCUCACCCCUUAGCUCUGUAGUGAUUUUAAUGAUUAAGGCUACUGUUCGGUCUGCAUUUGGACCUGAGCAACAGGGACCCCUGCCCAGAGGUCCAUCCUUCAGCAGCGUGCACUGCAUCCCCCUCCACUGCAGCUGACUCUAUGAGAUGAAGCAUCUGUCGCUCAGUGUAGCCAUCAGGUCCACUGCCCCUGAAAUAUGACUGACUAGGUUCAAAUGUUGACUCUGACACUUAGAAGCUGUGCCACCUUGGGGCAAGUUACUUCAUCUCUCUGUGCCUUACUUUCUUCCUUUAUAAAAUGGGUAAAAUAAUAACCACACCAUCGGUUGUCUAUGAAGAUUAAAUGAGUUGAUAAUAUAUGCAAAGCACUUAGCAUGGCUACUGGCACAAGGGUCAGUAAACGUUAACUGUUCCACACAUGAAUGUGUUUGAUUCUUAUAAUGCCCCAUGGGUAGAUUCUGUUAUUAGCUCUGUUUUACACAUGAGAAAACUUAGGCACAGGAGGUAAAGUAACAUUUGCAAGGUCACACCGUUAAGUAGCAAGGCUGAGGCUUUACUCCAGUUCUUUUUUUUUUUUUUUUUUUUGAGGCAUCUCACCAGGCUGGAGUGCAGUGGCACAAUCUCAGCUCACUGCAACCUCUGCCUCCCGGGCUCAAGCAAUUCUCCUGCCUCAGCCUCCCGAGUAGCUGGGAUUACAGGUGUGCACCACCAUGCCCGGCUAAUUUUUGUAUUUUUAGUAGAUACGGAGUUUCGUCAUGUUGGCCAGGCUGGUCUCGAACUCCUGACCUCAGG
RNAcentral lists this long non-coding RNA (2760 nucleotides) under Homo sapiens (human). RNAcentral's name for it is "HSALNT0290197". The record is from RNAcentral. Lineage: Eukaryota; Metazoa; Chordata; Mammalia; Primates; Hominidae.